RNAcentral lists this ribosomal RNA (468 nucleotides) under uncultured bacterium. Its description in RNAcentral is "partial 16S ribosomal RNA". It matches the Rfam family "Bacterial small subunit ribosomal RNA", at positions 28 to 507 of the family's 1533-position model. The record is from RNAcentral.
GACGAACGCUGGCGGCGUGCUUAACACAUGCAAGUCGAACGGAAAGGCCCUGCUUUUGUGGGGUGCUCGAGUGGCGAACGGGUGAGUAACACGUGAGUAACCUGCCCUUGACUUUGGGAUAACUUCAGGAAACUGGGGCUAAUACCGGAUAGGAGCUCCUGCUGCAUGGUGGGGGUUGGAAAGUUUCGGCGGUUGGGGAUGGACUCGCGGCUUAUCGGCUUGUUGGUGGGGUAGUGGCUUACCAAGGCUUCGACGGGUAGCCGGCCUGAGAGGGUGACCGGCCACAUUGGGACUGAGAUACGGCCCAGACUCCUACGGGAGGCAGCAGUGGGGAAUAUUGCAGAAUGGGCGGAAGCCUGAUGCAGCAACGCCGCGUGCGGGAUGACGGCCUUCGGGUUGUAAACCGCUUUCGCCUGUGACGAAGCGUGAGUGACGGUAAUGGGUAAAGAAGCACCGGCUAACUACGUG